AAAAAAAAAAGAUGUGGUAUGAUUGCCAUGUUGAGACAACUCUCCACAAGAGACCAAAAUGACACAGAAAUUUACGACUAUAGGUCACCGUACGGCCUUCAACAACGAGCAAAGCCCAUACCGCAUACUCAGCUUUAAAAGGCCCCGAAAUGACGAUGUAAAAAAAUUCAAAAGAGAAAACUAGCGGCCUUAUUUAUGUACAAAAAAAGGAACGAAAAACAAAUAUGUAACACAUAAACAAACGACAACCACUGAAUUACAGG
Molecule: long non-coding RNA, 263 nt
Filed under: Mytilus galloprovincialis (Mediterranean mussel)
Lineage: Eukaryota; Metazoa; Mollusca; Bivalvia; Mytilida; Mytilidae
Source: RNAcentral